This 500-nucleotide ribosomal RNA is filed under the name uncultured bacterium. RNAcentral describes it as "partial 16S ribosomal RNA". It matches the Rfam family "Bacterial small subunit ribosomal RNA", at positions 30 to 523 of the family's 1533-position model. The record is from RNAcentral.
AUUGAACGCUGGCGGCAUGCCUUACACAUGCAAGUCGAACGGCAGCACGGGAGCAAUCCUGGUGGCGAGUGGCGAACGGGUGAGUAAUGUAUCGGAACGUGCCCAGUCGUGGGGGAUAACGUAGCGAAAGCUACGCUAAUACCGCAUACGAUCUAUGGAUGAAAGCGGGGGAUCGCAAGACCUCGCGCGAUUGGAGCGGCCGAUAUCAGAUUAGGUAGUUGGUGGGGUAAAGGCUCACCAAGCAGACGAUCUGUAGCUGGUCUGAGGGGACGACCAGCCACACUGGGACUGAGACACGGCCCAGACUCCUACGGGAGGCAGCAGUGGGGAAUUUUGGACAAUGGGCGCAAGCCUGAUCCAGCAGUGCCGCGUGCAGGAUGAAGGCCUUCGGGUUGUAAACUGCUUUUGUACGGAACGAAACGGCGAGCUCUAAUACAGUUUGCUAAUGACGGUACCGUAAGAAUAAGCACCGGCUAACUACGUGCCAGCCGCCGCCGUAA